RNAcentral lists this long non-coding RNA (229 nucleotides) under Elaeis guineensis (African oil palm). Its description in RNAcentral is "long non-coding RNA (EGUI_LNC002769)". Lineage: Eukaryota; Viridiplantae; Streptophyta; Magnoliopsida; Arecales; Arecaceae. The record is from RNAcentral.
UUAGAUAUAAAAAUUAUCUUCAUAUUUGUUGCUAUUUGAAUCGGUCGAGAUCAAAAAAUAGAUAUAUGAUAUCUUCGAACGAAGAUAUCAUUGCUGGAGCGACCUGCAAAAUAAUUUUCAAAUCAGAAGUUGUGACUCCGGUGAGGAUUUUCCGACGCUCAAAUCAGAAAAAUAGAGAACAAAGAAGCAGCAAUAAAUUUUCUGAGAGAAAUUUGAUAGAACUUACCUG